ACGACUGAUUGUAAUAAAGGUGUUUCAAUCAAAAAAAUAAUUGUUCUUAUCAGUUUAAUAUCUGAUACGUCCCCUAUCUGGGGACCACAUAUUAAUUGGAUAAAAUAAUAAUAAUAAUCACAUGAUCCAUCACCAUGGUGAUGGAUCAUGUGACGGACGAUGUGAUGACCGCGGUGACGUCACCACAGGUCCUUUUCCU
This is a small nuclear RNA of Bufo bufo (common toad), 199 nucleotides long. RefSeq annotates it as U2 spliceosomal RNA. The transcript has a single exon. The record is from RefSeq and is a predicted model, not a curated record. Lineage: Eukaryota; Metazoa; Chordata; Amphibia; Anura; Bufonidae.